AGAGUUUGAUCCUGGCUCAGGACGAACGCUGGCGGCGUGCUUAACACAUGCAAGUCGAACGCUGAAGCCUAGCUUGCUGGGUGGAUGAGUGGCGAACGGGUGAGUAACACGUGAGUAACCUGCCCCCUUCUUUGGGAUAACGCCCGGAAACGGGUGCUAAUACUGGAUAUUCACUGAUCUUCGCAUGGGGGUUGGUGGAAAGGUUUUUUCUGGUGGGGGAUGGGCUCGCGGCCUAUCAGCUUGUUGGUGGGGUGAUGGCCUACCAAGGCUUUGACGGGUAGCCGGCCUGAGAGGGUGACCGGUCACAUUGGGACU
Molecule: ribosomal RNA, 315 nt
Filed under: uncultured Actinomyces sp.
Lineage: Bacteria; Bacillati; Actinomycetota; Actinomycetes; Actinomycetales; Actinomycetaceae
Description: bacterial SSU rRNA
Rfam family: Bacterial small subunit ribosomal RNA
Source: RNAcentral